AGUGGGGGGAAAAUCCAUGAAGUGGGCGUAGUAAUGAUAGGCUUGAAUGUUGUGAUUGAUGAAAACACAACCCAUGUACUAUGUGUUUAGUAUUCCCUGAAUUAAAACUCGAUGGUGUUUGAUGGUAGUGAUUAGGUGAAGUAAUAUUCUUAUAUGAAGUUCUAUAGCUUAAAUUAGCACCUCUUUUCUCCGAGUUAGGCCUCAACAUAUGAGUAUUGUACGGAAGGACUCAAACUUUUGUGGUUAGAUAUGCGAUGGGAGAAUAGUAAGUUGGA
This 275-nucleotide long non-coding RNA is filed under the name Capsicum annuum. Its description in RNAcentral is "long non-coding RNA (CANN_LNC012626)". Lineage: Eukaryota; Viridiplantae; Streptophyta; Magnoliopsida; Solanales; Solanaceae. The record is from RNAcentral.